AGAGUUUGAUCCUGGCUCAGGGCUAACGCUGGCAGCGUGCCUUAGCCAUGCAAGUCGAGCGGGGGGAUCCCUUUUGGGGUUCCCUAGCGGCGGACGGCGGAGUAAUACACGGCUAACCUGCCCUGGGGAGGGGGACAACCUGGGGAAACCUGGGCUAAUCCCCCAUACGCUCUCUGGGGGGCAUCCUCUGGGGAGGAAAGGGCGGUAAGGGGAAACUCUUACCGUUCGCCCUGGGAGGGGGCCGUGGCCCAUCAGGUAGUUGGUGGGGUAAAGGCCCACCAAGCCUGAGACGGGUAGCCGGCGUGAGAGCGCGGCCGGCCCGAGGGGCACUGAGACACGGGCCCCACUCCUACGGGAGGCAGCAGGCUGGAAAUGUGGGCAAUGGGGGAAACCCUGACCCCGCGACGCUGCGUGCGGGAAGAAGCCCUUCGGGGUGUAAACCGCUUUUGUGGGGGACGAAGGGGUGACGGUACCCCACGAAUAAGCCACGGCUAACCUCGUGCCAGCAGCCGCGGUAAGGCGGGGGUGGCGAGCGUUGCCCGGAAUUACUGGGCUUAAAGGGGGCGUAGGCGGCUGGGUGUGUUGGGUGUGUAAUCCGGCGGCUCAACCGCUGGGCUGCACCCGAUACUACCUGGCUAGGGGGCGCCAGGGGAAGGCGGAACUCCUGGUGUAGCGGUGAAAUGCGUAGAUAUCUGGGUAACACCGGAUGCGAAGGCGUCCUUCUGGGGCGUACCCGACGCUGAGUCCGAAAGACGGGGGGAGCAAAGGGGAUUAGAAUACCCCCGUAGUCCCGGCCAGUUAAACGAAUG
This 809-nucleotide ribosomal RNA is filed under the name uncultured bacterium. Its description in RNAcentral is "bacterial SSU rRNA". It matches the Rfam family "Bacterial small subunit ribosomal RNA", at positions 8 to 812 of the family's 1533-position model. The record is from RNAcentral.